This 442-nucleotide ribosomal RNA is filed under the name uncultured bacterium. RNAcentral describes it as "partial 16S ribosomal RNA". It matches the Rfam family "Bacterial small subunit ribosomal RNA", at positions 338 to 795 of the family's 1533-position model. The record is from RNAcentral.
CCUACGGGGGGCAGCAGUAGGGAAUCUUUCACAAUGGGCGAAAGCCUGAUGGAGCAACGCCGCGUGCAGGAUGAAGGCCUUCGGGUUGUAAACUGCUUUUAUAAGCGAGAAAUAUGAUGGUAACUUAUGAAUAAGGAUCGGCUAACUACGAGCCAGCAGCCGCGGUCAUACGUAGGAUCCGAGCAUUAUCCGGAGUGACUGGGUGUAAAGAGUUGCGUAGGUGGCAUAAUAAGUAGCUAGUGAAAUCUGGUGGCUCAACCAUUCAGACUAUUAGCUAAACUGUUAAGCUCGAGACCGUUAGGGGUAACUGGAAUGUGUAGUGUAGGAGUGAAAUCCGUAGAUAUUAGAAGGAACACCGAUAGCGUAGGCAGGUUGCUGGGACGGUUCUGACACUAAGGCACGAAAGCGUAGGGAGCAAACGGGAUUAGAUACCCCAGUAGUC